CGAACGUGUGAGUAACAUAUCGGAACGUACCGGGUANCGGGGGAUAACUGAUCGAAAGAUCAGCUAAUACCGCAUACGUCUUGAGAGGGAAAGCAGGGGACCUUCGGGCCUUGCGCUAUCCGAGCGGCCGAUAUCUGAUUAGCUGGUUGGCGGGGUAAAGGCCCACCAAGGCGACGAUCAGUAGCGGGUCUGAGAGGAUGAUCCGCCACACUGGGACUGAGACACGGCCCAGACUCCUACGGGAGGGCAGCAGAU
Molecule: ribosomal RNA, 255 nt
Filed under: uncultured Neisseria sp.
Lineage: Bacteria; Pseudomonadati; Pseudomonadota; Betaproteobacteria; Neisseriales; Neisseriaceae
Description: partial 16S ribosomal RNA
Rfam family: Bacterial small subunit ribosomal RNA
Source: RNAcentral